CGGACUAGGUGAGUAAUGCGUGACCAACCUGCCCCAUGCUCCAGAAUAGCUCUUGGAAACGGGUGGUAAUGCUGGAUGCUCCAACUUGACGCAUGUCUUGUUGGGAAAGUGUUUAGUGGCAUGGGAUGGGGUCGCGUCCUAUCAGCUUGUAGGCGGGGUAAUGGCCCACCUAGGCUUCGACGGGUAGCCGGCCUGAGAGGGCGGACGGCCACAUUGGGACUGAGAUACGGCCCAGACUCCUACGGGAGGCAGCAGGU
RNAcentral lists this ribosomal RNA (257 nucleotides) under uncultured Gardnerella sp. RNAcentral's name for it is "partial 16S ribosomal RNA". It matches the Rfam family "Bacterial small subunit ribosomal RNA", at positions 99 to 354 of the family's 1533-position model. Lineage: Bacteria; Bacillati; Actinomycetota; Actinomycetes; Bifidobacteriales; Bifidobacteriaceae. The record is from RNAcentral.